Small nuclear RNA from Acomys russatus (golden spiny mouse), 104 nucleotides. The record is from RefSeq and is a predicted model, not a curated record. NCBI's taxonomy places the organism in Eukaryota, Metazoa, Chordata, Mammalia, Rodentia, Muridae.
GCAUUCAACUUGGCAGCACAUAUACUAAAAUUGAAACAAUGCAGAGAUUUGUACGGCCCCUGUGAAAGGAUGACACACAAAUUUGUGAAGCAUCCCAUAUUUUU